AAUUAGGGUUUUCGUCCAAUUUUGGGUUUUCCUGUCGUGCUUCUAUCCCAUCGUGCUUGCUUCCCAUCCUGCUUAAUUUUUGUCCUGCUUCCAAUGUCUUCGAAAUAAUAUCCCCCUGAUACAAAGUUUUGCGGAAAACUUCAUGCUGAAGAAACAUCGUUCUUGUAAACCGUCGAGCUUCUAGAACGUCGUGCUUCCAAAAAGAUUAUGCUUCCAAAACAUCCAUCUGAUCAAUCUAAGACGUCUUCUAACUAUGGUCGAGCAACUUAUUCGACUCAUAGUUCACUCACGAUCACUUCUUCGCCCACCUCGUACUUCAAAACUUCUCGAUUGAUCCUUAUCGCCCGCGACUCGACCACCACAAAGAUACUCGACCAUUCUCUCUC
This 386-nucleotide long non-coding RNA is filed under the name Brassica napus (rape). Its description in RNAcentral is "long non-coding RNA (BNAP_LNC020560)". The record is from RNAcentral. Lineage: Eukaryota; Viridiplantae; Streptophyta; Magnoliopsida; Brassicales; Brassicaceae.